RNAcentral lists this long non-coding RNA (1365 nucleotides) under Lonchura striata (white-rumped munia). Its description in RNAcentral is "domestica (Bengalese finch) lncRNA (ENSLSDG00000016792.1)". Lineage: Eukaryota; Metazoa; Chordata; Aves; Passeriformes; Estrildidae. The record is from RNAcentral.
CGCCCGUCAGCUCUUGCAAUCCCUCUUGGCAGGCUGAGGAGAGCGGGAAGGACCUGGCUGCCUUCCAAGGAGCAGCAAAUGCAAAUAUUUCCUCACUUCAGGCUGGGUGCGGCCCGCGGAUAAAAUUUCCUUGGGCUUUCCCAGCGAAGGCAUCCGAGCUCUCGCUCUGCUGCGAGGCCAACUUGCUCCCAGGAAUACAACCGUGCGUCCCAUAAAGAAAGCCUAAAGGUUAUCUUUUUACAACUCAAAGGACUGCCUGGUUUUUAAAAAGAGGUUUUAAAUUGAAGAAGGAGCUGCCAGGCACAGCUGUAGUGUUUUCAAAUCAGCGGUUAAAGUGUUGACUCACAAAAAAAACCCCCAAAAAAACCAAUAACCCUUUCUGCAGGUUUCUUUGGAAAAUGGAAGAUUUGUUGUGUGGUGCAAGGAAAGUGGGAUGAUAAAGGGGCUGGGAAAAGUGCUGGGAGCAAGGUUGGGUGCUGGCGAUGGCUUUUCUCAAAUAAGAUAGAAAGAACUGCAGGAAAACUUUUUUUUUUUAGUUUGGAUCCCAGGUUAAUGGCAGUCACAUCCCAGCCAGCUCCCUGCAGCGCUGUUCUUCCCCACAGAGCAUUCAGACCUAUUUUCUGCGUGUUCCUUUGACACAGCCUAAAAAAAAAAUAGAUUUCUUAAAUGAAAAGCAGUCUGAUUCUGCUGAUUCUGGGAGAGGCAAAACCCAGCAGGGAUUAUACAAGAACAGCCCAAGUGUGGAUUUCUCCAGGUCAUGCAGCACAGGGGUUGAAGCCGCCAUCUCUCGGUCUCCUCACGGCAUGGAAAAUCCCCAAAAGUGCUUAGGGGAAAAAAAAAAAAAAAAAAAAAAAAAAAAAAAAAAAAAAAAAAAAAAAAAAAAAAAAAAAAAAAAAAGCCCCAAACGUACGAGGAUUGAUUUAUCAUCGGAGCCGGAGCGGUAUGGGAAGAAGCGAUCGCUGCUCGCCUGCUCCCCACGACAGCUCACCCGCCUUUCGCUUAAUUAAAAUCAUAUAUUGGUGUGAUCAGACGUGGUAAUGCCAUUAAAAAAAAAAAACCCAAAUCCCGUAACAUCCACCCACUCGUUGUUGGAGGCUGUAGCCAAGGUACCAUGCUUUUUUUUUGUUUUGUUUUGUUGUUUUAAAUAUUACUUUAAUGUUGCCUUACCCUUUUUUCCUGCAUCAGUGUUACCGGCUAUAACAUUGCUUGUUAUUUCUUAAAAGCUACGUACCAAAAAUAUUGCUUUUUUUUUUUCCCAUAGAAUUGCAGAUUUAGGCCUAUACAGAUGCUCUUUUAUUUCUAUGGAUACAUAAAUACUUAUAUGUAUUUAAUAAAUAUAAAUAUAUAAAUACUGCUAUAUAUUUA